This 259-nucleotide long non-coding RNA is filed under the name Sorghum bicolor (sorghum). Its description in RNAcentral is "long non-coding RNA (SBIC_LNC008324)". Lineage: Eukaryota; Viridiplantae; Streptophyta; Magnoliopsida; Poales; Poaceae. The record is from RNAcentral.
ACCAAAUCUUUUGCUACUACCCUUUAGGCUACAAAGAAUGUGACUCGAUGUGAGCGAUGUAUAAAGAAGACUACAACAGUAGUCUCGUUCUAACCUUGGUAAGGAUGAUCUACUAUUCUAUUGGGGAGGCUCACGAAAUCUAGACACCAGAGAGGAUGUUCGACCCGCACCUAUAAAACCUACCCGUCCUGCUAGUGAGAUGUGUGAUGCAAAGGUAAAUUGGAAAUGUCACGUUCCUCGCUACAACCACGGUCCAGCU